UUAACUCAAAUUUGUAUGAAGUUGAAAUGUUUGUCUACGUUCGCCGCUUGGGGCGCUGUUCCAACUGCAUACCAAUUUGAGUUA
Molecule: non-coding RNA, 84 nt
Organism: Bombyx mori (domestic silkworm)
Lineage: Eukaryota; Metazoa; Arthropoda; Insecta; Lepidoptera; Bombycidae
Source: Rfam